CCUACGGGUGGCAGCAGUCGAGAAUCAUUCACAAUGGGGGAAACCCUGAUGGUGCGACGCCGCGUGGGGGAAUGAAGGUCUUCGGAUUGUAAACCCCUGUCAUGUGGGAGCAAAUUAAAAAGAUAGUACCACAAGAGGAAGAGACGGCUAACUCUGUGCCAGCAGCCGCGGUAAUACAGAGGUCUCAAGCGUUGUUCGGAAUCACUGGGCGUAAGGCGUGCGUAGGCUGUUUCGUAAGUCGUGUGUGAAAGGCGCGGGCUCAACCCGCGGAUGGCACAUGAUACUGCGAGACUAGAGUAAUGGAGGGGGAACCGAAAUUCUCGGUGUAGCAGUGAAAUGCGUAGAUAUCGAGAGGAACACUCGUGGCGAAGGCGGGUUCCUGGACAUUAACUGACGCUGAGGCACGAAGGCCAGGGGAGCGAAAGGGAUUAGAUACCCCAGUAGUC
This 446-nucleotide ribosomal RNA is filed under the name uncultured bacterium. Its description in RNAcentral is "partial 16S ribosomal RNA". It matches the Rfam family "Bacterial small subunit ribosomal RNA", at positions 338 to 795 of the family's 1533-position model. The record is from RNAcentral.